Long non-coding RNA from Lactuca sativa (garden lettuce), 1329 nucleotides. RefSeq lists it as uncharacterized. NCBI's taxonomy places the organism in Eukaryota, Viridiplantae, Streptophyta, Magnoliopsida, Asterales, Asteraceae. The record is from RefSeq and is a predicted model, not a curated record.
UGAAUUCCUGUAAUCCCAAUUGUUGAUCUCCUUAGAUCUUGCCGAUUUCUAAUUGACCCGAUCAUCUCAAAUGCCUUUAAUUUAGGAACCUGGUUGUAUUUCCAAAUGAAUUCCGUAACUUACUUUUUUCUCUGUUCUUCAAUAUCAAUUAUUCAUACUCAAUCUCCAUCCCCAAUUUCAGUUGGAUCGUCACUUUUUCUUCAACCUCUCCUUAAAUCGGAGAUGUUAUCUGUAUAUCAUUCCCUUUCCACCAUUAUUUUAAUUAUCAAGCUUACAUUGUCUUACAUAAAGUCUCGAUUCAGAUGGAUCCAUUGAAAAUUAGUUAAAUCGAUCGGAGGUUGUGUGAAGGUCGGAGCUCUCAUAGAUACAUACACACUUAAGACGAAAUAGGUUUUGAGCAUAUUCAUGAUUGAUGUGAAUUUACCCAUUCUUGAUUUUUAUGUUUCCUUUGUUUUAGAUUAAAUCGUAAUAUAAGAUUAAGGGAUAUAGUUAUUUUAGAUCGGAGAACUUCAAGAUGUACCGAGAAUUAACCUGAAAAAAGAAGAUAGAAAUGGAUAAAGAACCAGUACAAAUGAUGGUGCCUCAUGGUGAUUGUCUCUGAAAGGAUUUCACUGAUGGUGGAACUGGUGAACUUCACAAAGUUAUGUUGUAAUCUGUAUUUUUUUCCCUUCCAUUUUUUUAGAAAAUAUCACAAAGUUACUGAUGAGGUGCUCAUAAAGUACAUGGUAUUUUCCAGAUUCAGGACAAUUCCUUUCCUUUUACAAUCAACCACACCUUGGAAUUUAGUUUUCUUUCAAAAUCUCAUCUAUGGUUUCUUUUAGGUUUAAAAAACAGUUUUCAUAACUACAUGAAGAUCAACAAAAAAGGAAUGAAAGAAGUUUGAAUAAGGGCAAUCGAAUUCUAUCAGCAAUAGCCUUUUUUGAGUUGUCUGGAAAGCUUGCAGGCGACACCAAUCGAGUUAAGGGUAGGUGUGACACUGUUGUUUACUGAGCCAUCAGAUGCAAGGAAACCAAAAAUAAGAUGGAGGAUGUUUUUAAGGGUAGUGAAGUACUUAAUGUGUUUACAACUUAUUCCGGCAAGCAUGCAACUACGCAAAUGAAGUCUAAGCUAUUGUUUUGGACAAACGAAAUUGAUGGGUGUUAUAUGGGACUAACUCUGAAAGCUUUAUCCAGAUGAUCAUCUUCUCCCUUGAUGUUGCCUGACCAAUAUUAACAUUUGAAAUCUAUUUGUUAUAUGGGUCUAUUUUUGUGAAAAUUGGAUCUAUGUUUUUUACAUUUUUAACUCAUCCAAAUGACAAAAAAGAACAAAAAUGGUCAAAUUUACCAACAA